Molecule: ribosomal RNA, 253 nt
Filed under: uncultured Gammaproteobacteria bacterium
Lineage: Bacteria; Pseudomonadati; Pseudomonadota; Gammaproteobacteria
Description: partial 16S ribosomal RNA
Rfam family: Bacterial small subunit ribosomal RNA
Source: RNAcentral
UACAGAGGGUGCGAGCGUUAAUCGGAGUUACUGGGCGUAAAGGGCGCGCAGGCGGUGAGACAAGUGGGGUGUGAAAUCCCCGGGCUUAACCCGGGAACAGCAUUCCGGACUGUUUUGCUGGAGUACUGUAGAGGGUAGUGGAAUUUCCGGUGUAGCGGUGAAAUGCGUAGAGAUCGGAAGGAACACCAGUGGCGAAGGCGGCUACCUGGACAGAUACUGACGCUGAGGCGCGAGAGCGUGGGGAGCAAACAGG